AACCAAUGGCCUCCUGAACGUGCGUUGCACUCUUAGAUUUCCUGAGAGUAUGUCUGCUUCAGUGCUUAA
RNAcentral lists this ribosomal RNA (69 nucleotides) under Symbiodinium sp. RNAcentral describes it as "partial 5.8S ribosomal RNA". The record is from RNAcentral. Lineage: Eukaryota; Dinophyceae; Suessiales; Symbiodiniaceae.